UACCAGCUCUCCGAGUGGUGGGGAUGUUUAUUGGGCUUAAAGCGUCCGUAGCUGGCUUUUCAAGUCUCUCGUUAAAUCCAACGAUUCAAUCGUUGGACUGCGGGAGAUACUGUUUGGCUAGGGGGCGGGAGAAGCCGACGGUAUUUCCGGUGUAGGGGUAAAAUCCUAUAAUCCCGGGAGGACCACCAGUGGCGAAGGCGGUCGGCUAGAACGCGCUCGACGGUGAGGGACGAAAGCUGGGGGAGCAAACCGGAUUAGAUACCCGGAUAGUCCCAGCUGUAAACGAUGCGGGCUAGGUGUUGAAGCGGCUACGAGUUGCUUCAGUGCCGCAGGAAAACCAUUAAGCCCGCCGCCUGGGGAGUACGGCCGCAAGGCUGAAACUUAAAGGAAUUGGCGGGGGAGCACCACAAGGGGUGAAGCUUGCGGUUCAAUUGGAGUCAACGCCGGGAACCUUACCGGAGGCGACAGCAGGAUGAAAGCCAGAUUGAAGGUUUUGCUGGACGGGCUGAGAGGAGGUGCAUGGCCGUCGCCAGUUCGUGCCGUGAGGUGUCCUGUUAAGUCAGGCAACGAUCGAGACCCACAUCCCCUGUUGCUACCGAGGAGUUUUUCCAAGGAGCACUCUGGGGGCACUGCCUACGAUAAGUUGGAGGAAGGAGUGGGCUACGGCAGGUCAGUAUGCCCCGAAUCCUCCGGGCCACACGCGAGCUGCAAUGGUUGGGACAGUGGGCUCCGACCUCGAAAGGGGAAGGCAAUCCCGAAACCCAGCCUCAGUUGGGAUCGAGGGCUGAAACCCGCCCUCGUGAACAUGGAAUCCCUAGUAAUCGCGCGUCAUCAACGCGCGGUGAAUACGUCCCUGCUCCU
Molecule: ribosomal RNA, 861 nt
Filed under: uncultured archaeon
Lineage: Archaea
Description: SSU rRNA
Rfam family: Archaeal small subunit ribosomal RNA
Source: RNAcentral